Molecule: unclassified non-coding RNA, 230 nt
Filed under: Hevea brasiliensis (rubber tree)
Lineage: Eukaryota; Viridiplantae; Streptophyta; Magnoliopsida; Malpighiales; Euphorbiaceae
Source: RNAcentral
GUCGGUGAGCUGGAGCGCUCUAGACCACUGGGACCGUUGUCGGCGAAAUACGUGGACUGUCGCUUGGCAUAGUUGAUUGGUUUCCAAUGAUGGGCGUCGAACGCGAGCGAACGCCCCCCCCGCGGCUGACAUGAUCCUUCAGCAGCGCGUCGUCAAGAAAAAAUCUUCGGGGGACGGUCCGGCCUUAUGCGCUCAUCUUGGCGGCGAGCGCGUCCGAGACCUCGAAAUUC